CCUACGGGAGGCAGCAGUGAGGAAUAUUGGUCAAUGGGCGCGAGCCUGAACCAGCCAAGUCGCGUGAGGGAGGACGGCCCUAUGGGUUGUAAACCUCUUUUGUCGGGGAGCAACGGGCGUCACGUGUGGCGCCACUGAGAGUACCCGGAGAAAAAGCAUCGGCUAACUCCGUGCCAGCAGCCGCGGUAAUACGGAGGAUGUGAGCGUUAUCCGGAUUUAUUGGGUUUAAAGGGUGCGUAGGCGGAUCGUUAAGUCAGUGGUAAAAUUGAGGGGCUCAACCCGUUCCCGCCAUUGAAACUGGCGGUCUUGAGUGGGAGAGAGGUAGGCGGAAGGCGGGGUGUAGCGGUGAAUGGCA
RNAcentral lists this ribosomal RNA (355 nucleotides) under uncultured bacterium. RNAcentral's name for it is "partial 16S ribosomal RNA". It matches the Rfam family "Bacterial small subunit ribosomal RNA", at positions 338 to 690 of the family's 1533-position model. The record is from RNAcentral.